This 276-nucleotide ribosomal RNA is filed under the name uncultured bacterium. RNAcentral describes it as "partial 16S ribosomal RNA". It matches the Rfam family "Bacterial small subunit ribosomal RNA", at positions 28 to 302 of the family's 1533-position model. The record is from RNAcentral.
GAUGAACGCUAGCGGCAGGCUUAAUACAUGCAAGUCGAACGGCAGCACGGGUAGCAAUAUCUGGUGGCGAGUGGCGCACGGGUGCGUAACGCGUAUGCAAUCUACCUUCAACUGGUGAAUAGCCCGAAGAAAUUCGGAUUAACACACCAUAGUAUAUUAGAGUGGCAUCACUUUAAUAUUAAAACUCCGGUGGUUGAAGAUGAGCAUGCGUGACAUAGCUAGUUGGUGAGGUAAUGGCUCACCAAGGCUACGAUGUCUAGGGGAUCUGAGAGGAUU